Molecule: ribosomal RNA, 690 nt
Filed under: uncultured bacterium
Lineage: Bacteria
Description: bacterial SSU rRNA
Rfam family: Bacterial small subunit ribosomal RNA
Source: RNAcentral
AGAGUUUGAUCCUGGCUCAGAUUGAACGCUGGCGGCAGGCCUAACACAUGCAAGUCGAGCGGAUGAAGGGAGCUUGCUCCCUGAUUUAGCGGCGGACGGGUGAGUAAUGCCUAGGAAUCUGCCUGGUAGUGGGGGAUAACGUUCCGAAAGGAACGCUAAUACCGCAUACGUCCUACGGGAGAAAGCAGGGGACCUUCGGGCCUUGCGCUAUCAGAUGAGCCUAGGUCGGAUUAGCUAGUUGGUGAGGUAAUGGCUCACCAAGGCGACAAUCCGUAACUGGUCUGAGAGGAUGAUCAGUCACACUGGAACUGAGACACGGUCCAGACUCCUACGGGAGGCAGCAGUGGGGAAUAUUGGACAAUGGGCGAAAGCCUGAUCCAGCCAUGCCGCGUGUGUGAAGAAGGUCUUCGGAUUGUAAAGCACUUUAAGUUGGGAGGAAGGGCAUUAACCUAAUACGUUAGUGUUUUGACGUUACCGACAGAAUAAGCACCGGCUAACUUCGUGCCAGCAGCCGCGGCAAUACGAAGGGUGCAAGCGUUAAUCGGAAUUACUGGGCGUAAAGCGCGCGUAGGUGGUUCGUUAAGUUGGAUGUGAAAGCCCCGGGCUCAACCUAGGAACUGCAUCCAAAACUGGCGAGCUAGAGUACGGUAGAGGGUGGUGGAAUUUCCUGUGUAGCGGUGAAAUGCGUAG